AACGAACGCUGGCGGCGCGCCUAACACAUGCAAGUCGAACGAGAAGCUGUAGCAAUACAGUUGUACAGUGGCGAACGGGUGAGGAAUACAUGGGUGACCUACCCUCGAGUGGGGAAUAACCAGCCGAAAGGUUGGCUAAUACCGCGUACGUUUCCCAGUCUGCGGAUUGGGGAAGGAAAGCGAUGCCGUGGGUAUCGCGCUCAAGGUUGGGCUCAUGUCCUAUCAGCUGUUGGUGAGGUAACGGCUCACCAAGGCAACGACGGGUAGCUGGUCUGAGAGGACGAUCAGCCACACUGGCACUGCGACACGGGCCAGACUCCUACGGGAGGCAGCAGUGAGGAAUAUUGCGCAAUGGGCGAAAGCCUGACGCAGCGACGCCGCGGUGGGGGA
RNAcentral lists this ribosomal RNA (390 nucleotides) under uncultured bacterium. Its description in RNAcentral is "bacterial SSU rRNA". It matches the Rfam family "Bacterial small subunit ribosomal RNA", at positions 29 to 408 of the family's 1533-position model. The record is from RNAcentral.